This 814-nucleotide long non-coding RNA is filed under the name Chloebia gouldiae (Gouldian finch). RNAcentral's name for it is "Erythrura gouldiae (Gouldian finch) lncRNA (ENSEGOG00005011297.1)". Lineage: Eukaryota; Metazoa; Chordata; Aves; Passeriformes; Passeridae. The record is from RNAcentral.
UCUGUGUGACACAGGGCAGUGUCAGUGUGACACGGGGCAGUGUCAGUGUGACACACACGUGUCCCCACAGUGUCGUCGGUCUGCAGCAGCGCCCCCGGGUCGGGGCCCAGCUCCCCCAACAGCUCCCACGGUGCCCACAACGGCCUGGCCGCCUCCGUCCCCAACAUCCACAGCGAGCUCCUGCCCCAGCCCCAUGGCCUGGCCCUGGACGGGGCCCAGCUCAGCCUCUACACGUCCCCGUCGCUGCCCAACCUGUCCCUGGGGCUGCAGGCCACCGUCACCGUCACCAGCGCCCACCUCCCCGUGUCCCCCAAGCUGUCGCCGCAGGCGGAGGGCGAGCGGCCGGGGGUGCCCCCGGGGGUGUCCCCGCUGCGCCCCGGGGCCGCCCUCACCGGGAAGUUCCUGAGCACGUCGUCGAUCCCGGGGUGUCUCCUGGGGGUGGCCCUGGACGGGGACGCCCCGGCCGGGUCCCCGUCCCUGCUGCAGCACGUGCUGCUGCUGGAGCAGGCGCGGCAGCAGAGCACCCUCAUCGCCGUGCCCCUGCACGGGCAGUCCCCGCUGGUGACCGGGGAGCGCGGGGGGGGUCCCCGCGGGAGCAAGCUGCCGCGCCACCGGCCCCUCAGCCGCACCCAGUCGUCCCCGCUGCCCCAGAGCCCCCAGGCGCUGCCCCACGGCCCCCUCCAGCACCACUUCCUGGACAAGCAGCAGCUCAAGGUGGGCUGGGGGCGCGGGGGGAACGGGGUGCGGGGUGGGCGUGGGGCACCGCUGACCCCCAGACCGCAGCGGGGAGGGGGCGGCGCGAGCGGGGGAAACU